This 636-nucleotide ribosomal RNA is filed under the name Pristimantis sp. QCAZ 43024. RNAcentral describes it as "partial 16S ribosomal RNA". The stretch from base 475 to 631 matches the Rfam family "Bacterial large subunit ribosomal RNA", at positions 1793 to 2011 of the family's 2925-position model. The record is from RNAcentral. Lineage: Eukaryota; Metazoa; Chordata; Amphibia; Anura; Strabomantidae.
AUAGCUGGUUUCUCAAGAAAAGAAUUUUAGUCCAACCUAAAGUAAUUUUACCCCAAUUAAUUAACCCCACUACUUUAGAGCAAUUCAAAUGAGGUACAGCCCAUUUGAUACAGGAUACAACCUUCACUUACGGGUUAAACCCCAACUUACACCUCAAAGUAGGCCUAAAAGCAGCCACCUUUUAAAAAGCGUCAAAGCUUAGCCCCGACGGUAUUAAUUCAUACACCCACAUUAACCCCUUCACCUGUACUGAGAACUUCUAUAACCCUAUAGAACCUUUUAUGCUAAAACUAGUAACAAGAGAAAACCCUCUCAUAAUGCAAACAUAAGCCAGCAAGAACCCAUCACUGGCAAUUAACAACCCUGAACAAAAGUAGCAACCUCACUAGAAAACCCUACUUCCACAAUUGUUAACCUAACACCAGAGCAUUUCAAGAAAGAUUAAAAGAAAAAGAAGGAACUCGGCAAAUCCAUGUCCCGCCUGUUUACCAAAAACAUCGCCUCUUGCUUCCCAUAAGAGGUCCAACCUGCCCAGUGACCCUGUUCAACGGCCGCGGUAUCCUAACCGUGCGAAGGUAGCGUAAUCACUUGUUUUCUAAAUAAAGACCUGUAUGAAAGGUAUAACGAGGACUAAAC